Molecule: small RNA, 550 nt
Filed under: Pan troglodytes (chimpanzee)
Lineage: Eukaryota; Metazoa; Chordata; Mammalia; Primates; Hominidae
Description: processed transcript
Source: RNAcentral
UGGGGGCUGCAGCUGCCGGACCCAGGCACCGACCCUUGACCUCCGGUGGCUCCCCCAUCUCUCAGGCGCGAUGGCUACGGGCGCGGAUGUACGGGACAUUCUAGAACUCGGGGGUCCAGAAGGGGAUGCAGCCUCUGGGACCAUCAGCAAGAAGGACAUUAUCAACCCGGACAAGAAAAAGUCCAAGAAGUCCUCUGAGACACUGACUUUCAAGAGGCCCGAGGGCAUGCACCGGGAAGUCUAUGCCUUGCUCUACUCUGACAAGAAGCAAGUAUUGGAGUCCCAAGUCCCCCAGGUUUUGGCCCCUGAUUCACCUGCCAUGCCCCUAACUACUAGUUUUCUCUAACAAUUUUCUCCUCCCCAGCAAGGGCUCCUGCUUGCUUAGCAGGAUGCAGGAGGACCUGAAAUCUUUUGCUCCAGGACAUGACUUUCUUGCUAUAGGGUAGGGUAGAUCAGCUCCCUGGGACAAAAAGCUCUUUAACACACCUUCUGAUUCUAACCUCGCAUCUCCCUAAACCUCCCUGCCAGGGAUGCACCCCCACUGCUACCC